UUAGAACGAGACCCCCUCGACGGUCCGUCGUGCCCAUGACGGUCCGUCGUGGGAUCCGUCGACCCAGACAGUGAUUUCCAGAAAUUAACUCUGCUGCUCCAAACGACUAAACAGGUCGUUACACAUGUCUUCCUCGCAAAACCCAUAGGUGUCUAAGUAAGUGUUCUUGUAUCAAUGCCUGGCAGCCUGCUAGAGUUUCAUUCGCAGUGGCUUUUGCUUGUCAAAGUGGAAACAUUUUGGAAAUGGAUUUUGAGCCAUUUACUACGGUAACUCCUCCAGUGACUCCAUUGGUAAUGGUUUGGAGUUUCUUACUCGCCACAUUGCUUCGACAAUGUUCCAUGAACAGGGAGAUUAUUAAGAGCCUCGUUGACUUUCUCAGACACCAUAACUACAAAGGAAAGGUAGUAAUGUUAACUAAUAAAGGGGUGCAAGCAAAAAGAAUCAUUUGAAUCUACAAUGUGGUAUAUGGCAAAAGAUACUAAUCUCAAGAUGUAUAAAGCAUGACAAAGUAAUCAAAUAGUAACUUAUAGUACAUCAAGAGAGAAGUGAUUACUAAUAUCUUCAGGUUGCUAAGAUGUUAGAAAAGCCUCCGUUCAGCCGAGGGACUUUCUGGAGACACAGGUGAUCUAUUUUAGCUGAGGCAUUUGUUGGACCCUUCAUUUCAAUGCCGAAGAAUGAAAGUGUUGUCACUUUGAACAUCUCCAUCCUCGCGUUUUCUGUCACGUUGCAGAUGCGAAGCUACAAUUUAGUAUCCUUUUCAUUUGGUUAGCGUCAAUUUUGUUGAAAAUUUAGUACAAAUUGGUUAUCUAUUUGUGUAUAUUUCUCUGCUUAGUGCUGAUUGUAGAAAAUUUUAAAAUUUAUUUAGUUACAUGGCAUUUGGUUUUCAUAUGUGUUUGAUUAUAGGAGGAUGCAGGAUUGAUGAGGUUUAUUGACCAGUCUCAUAUUCCCGACAAUCAGCCUGCUAGAAUUUCAUUCGCAGUGGCUUGUGCUUGUCAAAGGUAGUUUGAGUCAUGAAUUUGAAGAUAAUAAUACUCUACAAUUUUUUGCUUUGUGACUGAUUUUUUUUUUUGGUUGAUUCUUAAUGUUUGUGUCUCAUUUACUACUGUAACUCCUCUAAUGUCUCUUUUUGACUCUAUUGGAUAAUGGUUUGGAGUUUCUUACUUGCCACAUUGCUUCAACAAUGUUCUAUGACAAGGAUAUUACCAAGUGCCUCGUUGACUUUCUCAGACACCAUAGCUACAAAGGAAAGGUAGUAAGGUUAAGUAAUGAAAAAGUAGGCUAUUGCUUUUGGUUAAGCUGUAUGAUUAUUAUGUGUGGUUCUAACUAUGUCAAGUUGAACGGUGAAAGAAAGCAUCCAAAACAUGAAAAGUUUCCAAUUUAUCUUGAAAAAAGCAGAGUAAUAUCUGUGGACCCUGAAUCCAGAAAAUCCGUACUCCGUUUUGAAUCCCAGGUUGAAAAGAUUGGCUUGGAAAGAGUGUGGGGAAGCACUGCUGAAUGCCUGCAAGAAACCAUCAGUCAUCUGUUGUACCUCGUUGAGGCUCCUAAUGCAUCUUCUUUGGAGAACUUCCUCGGAAAAAUCCCAUUGGUUUUCAUGUUUGGACAUGAUUGCUUCCAGACCACUCAAAGAGUACUUCUAAAGGCUUAAAUGUUUCAGCAUUCACUUCGUUGGACAGAACACAAGUUUUAAACAAUUUUUUGUUGCUCUUACUGUUUACAUUUGGGAGGGUGUUUUCGAUGACAAUUUUGACAAAUAGUGCUUUUUGUUGUCUUGAGGACUCUAGUUGAAAAAAUCCUAAUUCAAAGUUUUUGUUGCUGUGGUUCUAGUUGACCACCAGCUUCAAUAAGAGCAAUGCUCUGCUUGAGGUAUGUGUGUGCUAUGUACUGCCUCUUAGGCCUUUCUUAUUUGACGUGCUAUUUAUCGAAACAACAAGAAUUAAACCAGCUGGUUCAAACUAGCUAGUGUAAGAAACACUAGCUAGAAACUCCUCAUAACGUUACCUAUCUAAAAAAGAAAACUCCUCAUAUUCACACCAAAGCCUUCAGGAUCCGAUCAUCUUCAUUUGCUUCAUUAUAUUCUUUUUCGUCAACCUUUGUGCUUUAAAUAGACUUAUAUAAUGUGUUUUACUCCUUCGAUAAAUGAAGUUGUUCUCUAGUUUUCUGGAACUUUUGUUUCAUGGAGGAAAAAAAGAGGGGGUUCAAGUAAAAAUAAUUAUUUGAAUCUACAAUGUGGUAUAUGUCAACAGAUACUAAUAGGUUCUCGUUUUCCCUUAUUCUUGUAUCUUUUGAUUAAUUGUAGUCUUUGUGGAGUGUAGCCUCCGUCAGCCGAGGGACUUUCUGGAGGACACAGGUGAUAGCCUUUUUUAGCUGAGGGAAGAUUCCAAUUGGUAAAUCAACUGAUUUGUUUCGAGAUUUGUAUUCUCCAGCGUCAUUAUCGGAACGUCUUGAAGUUUGGAUUUGAUGUCGUCAACUUUGUCGGCGAUGUCUGAAGAAAAGCUUGGAGAAAGUUUUCUGUGUAUUUCCUUGCUCAACAAUUCUGUACAUACUAAUUCUAUUUGUAUAUUUUUCCUACCCUUUAAUUUCUGUCUAUAAAACAAAAUAAGACAGAAAUAAGAAUGAUACUUACACUUGGCAAAGAAUAAUUUCAAUUGGUUCAAGUGUUGACUUCUUGUUUUCUCUUCCAACAUCUGCAUAGGAUCCAUGGCUGUAACUAUGAGAUGCAGAUGCUUGAUUUUUGUUCCCAACAACCCUCCUCAAGAUGGAGGGGAGAGAAACAACACCCAUCUUGGACAAAUUGAAAAAUGAGGACCACCAAGAGCUUUUGUGAACAAAUCAGCAAGCUGUGAAGAAGAAGGAACAAAUGAAAGAGAGAUCAAGCCGGCAAGAAAUGUUGCCUCACGAAAUGACAAUCAAGCUCUACUUGCUUGGUUCAUUCAUGGAAUACGGGAUUGCGAGCAAUGUGGAUGGCAGCUUGACUGUUCCGAAUGAACUGGAAUGGAUAAAGAUGGAGAUACAGAGAGAUCUUGAAGAAGUCGAGUCAACCAGAUCUUCUAGUAUCCCGGGAAUAUGCCCAAUCGGCAUCGCAAAAAGCCAAAUGGGAAAGAGAAGAGGUGGAAUUAUAAAAUAAACCUCAACUUGGGUCCAAUCUAAUGUAUCUAAGUACUCGUAAUGCAGCAUCCAAAUGACCAUGACAAGGGUGCUGCACAUAUUGACUUAGAGUGAGGACAGCAAAUAAGAGAUCUGGUCUGGUGUGAGUGAGGUAGUUUAGUUUGCCCACAAGUCGCCGGUAAACGGUUGGAUCAGCAAGAAGGGGACCAGAAGAAGCGGUCAAUUUGGUUGAAGCAUCUAAGGGAGAAGAUACAGUAGGCAUAGCCUCUAAGUCAAAUUCUUGUAAUAACUCCGAAGUAAAUUUGCGUUGUCGGCGAUGUCAUCAGUGAGUAUGGAGCUCUAUCGUGCAUUUGUUUGACCCUUGAUUUCAAUGCCAAAGAAAGAAGUGUUGUCACUUUGAACAUCUCCAUCCUCGCGUUUUCUGUCAAGUUGCAGAUAGGAAGCUACAAUAUAGUAUACUUUCAUUAGGAGGAUGCAAGAUUGAUGAGGUUUAGUCUCAUUAGUUCCCGACAAUCAGCGCGAAGUAAUGAAAAAAACUUGACUGGUUCUUGUCCAAGAAAUGGAGAUAUAAACUGCUUAGUGAGGCAAUGUUGUUCGUGGAGUGAUUUCUGGUUUUCAGUUUCUACAGGUAAACCAUUAUAAUAGAGACGCACAUAACCAGUGUUAUGAGAAUAUUACGAGAGAGGAAUGAUAGAUAAGUACAUUGUAAGUUUAUUGGGUGUUGCUGCAUUAGUUCUAUUUUGGAGUCCACUGCUUGGUACUGCUACUUACUAGCUACUAAUUGCUAUUUGAUGAAGUUAGCUUAUUCUGCAAGACUCUCACCUUAUACUGAAGGGUAAUAAUACAAAAAAUGUAGUAAUAUUUUCUUACUUACCACAUUGCUUUGACAAAUGGUUAAGCCGUCUGAUUAUUAUGUGUUCUUCUAACUACGUCAAUUUGAACGGUGAAAGAAGCAUCCAAAACUUGAAAAGUUUCCAACUUGUUCUGAAAAAAGCAGAGGAGUAUCUGUGCACCCUGAAUCCAGAAACUCCGUACUCCAAUUUUGAAUCCAUGGUUUAAAAGACUGGCUUGAAAGAGUUUCGGGAAACACUGCUGAAUGCCUGCAACAAACCAUCAGUCAUCUGCUUCCUAAUGCCAUCUUCUUCGGAGAAUCCAUUGGUUUUGCUAGUUUGGACAUGAUCGCCUCCAGACCACCCAAAAAGCACAAUUUUUAAACAAUUUAUUGUUGCUCUUACUGUUUAUUUUCGUCUGGGUGUUUUCCUUUGAAAAUUUAGUGCUUUCGGUUGUCUUGAGGAUUCUUGUUGAGUACAUUCGUAAUUCAAUAGUUUUGUUGUUGUGAUUCUAGUUGACAAUCAGCUUCAAUAGAACCAAUGCUUGGCUUCUCGA
Molecule: long non-coding RNA, 4491 nt
Organism: Solanum pennellii
Lineage: Eukaryota; Viridiplantae; Streptophyta; Magnoliopsida; Solanales; Solanaceae
Exons: 10
Source: RefSeq, a predicted model, not a curated record